Molecule: long non-coding RNA, 1684 nt
Filed under: Equus asinus (donkey)
Lineage: Eukaryota; Metazoa; Chordata; Mammalia; Perissodactyla; Equidae
Description: lncRNA (ENSEASG00005034380.1)
Source: RNAcentral
GGGAGAGGCUUCUUCAGGGCCUGCAGGGGAAGGCGAUGGGAGAGAGGAAGGGGGUCAGCAGAGAUCCAGCUGGCACCUUCAGGGAAGAAUGUGAUACCGUCCAGGAGGAGAAGUUGGCGGGUGCCAUUAUCAGACGGCCUAAAGGCAACCUUUGUGCAUCAUUUGAGGGCCAGCCCCAAGGAUGAAAACUCACAGCCUCUACCACAGCCACUGACUCACUGGAUCGUUCUUAGCCCAAAAGGCAAAGAGAUUGGCAAUGGCAAGUUCAAAGGAACUGGCCAAUGACAAGCCUGAGGAGGGGAUACGCAGAAGGCACGUCUGUGAGCGGGCAUAUUGCCUCGUGUCCAUCAGAUUGGCAUUCUGGACGCCAUUCUCUGAUCCUCAGUAAUUUGAGAAGCAUUCCUGCAGUGAAGGAUCAAAGUCUUGCCCUCUUUCCUCGUUCUCGAAUGCAACCGGCAGCCAGCAGAAGUGCCUGCUUUGACUGAGGAAUCUGGCAGGGCCGGCCCCCUCUCCAGACCCUUGUGCUUUCUCUAAUGGUCUCCCAGUGGGCCCUGUGAGUCUGAUCUGCCGGGAAGAGGGUCCCCAUCUCUGGCACCUCCUACUCUUCCAGCUGAUCUUGGAUUUCGUGCUUUUGGCAAAGAUGAGCGCUUGUCCCUGCCCAUCCUCUAAGCUCAAAUAGUAACAUGACCGAGAAUGCUGCUGACUUCCUGACAAAUCCCUGUUUUCCCAUCCAGCCUCACCAUUGACCAGUUCUUUCAGGCUCUGCUUGGCUCUCUUUUUCCAGUCUGUGCAUCUCAGAAGCUAACAUGAAUAGCCGCAUGCAUGAUGAAGAGCCGCAGCAUUUAGACAGCUAGAGAUACAUCCAGAGUCCCCUAAGGUGCUUUCCUGUCACAGUCCUUCCCAUCCAGGGGCCCCCGAAUGUCAUCCUACCAAGGAGAGAUGGGGCCCAAUGACAUAGUCACCUAUCCCGGGCUGUCAGCUCCACGAGGCCAAAAUACGCCCUGAGCUGCGGGCUUGGUCUUUUUGGGCUUGUCCAGGGCCAGCUGGGCCCACCACUGGUGUCCUAGUCUAGGCCAAUGUUUUUCAAUUUUGGGGGACCCUAAAGCCACGGUAAGAAAUAAAUCUAGUAAAGUUUUCAUCACCAGCCAGUACAGAUAUUUAGAUAUAAUGUAAGUAUAGGUAUGGAUACAUGUACAUACAAUUGAAAAAAAGAAAAACUCACUUUCUGUAAGCAAUACACUGGGGCUCUUGUUUCAAAGUGCUGCCUGUAAACCACUAAAUUGAUUUCACAACCCACUAAUGGUCUGUGACCCCUAGUAUGGAAAACUCUGCUGUGUGAGGCAGGCGAUGCGUCUUCUGCCUUGCACCUUGGCAGGCAGCCUUUUAUGCUCAAGGAAUACCAAGGAAAGUUCCCAAUAUGAGCUGAUCCAAGAGGCCCUCUCCACCCACCACGUCCCCCUGGGGAGGCUGUAAGAAGUCUGGCUUCUCUGCUGCCUAAGGAGUUUCUGCUCCUGGCAACAUCUCACAGAGGCCAGGCUGAGCACAGGGCAGGACUCGGCCCCCAUCCCUCUCCAUGGCUGUCUUCCCUGAACCGCUCCAUUCUCCUCUUCUUUCUUCCCAUUGUUUACAAGAUUUUGGGGUGAACGGCAGCUGAACCUGGGGCGCCUCGCAGCUCUAGUGGGAG